This 465-nucleotide ribosomal RNA is filed under the name uncultured bacterium. Its description in RNAcentral is "partial 16S ribosomal RNA". It matches the Rfam family "Bacterial small subunit ribosomal RNA", at positions 338 to 795 of the family's 1533-position model. The record is from RNAcentral.
CCUACGUGUGGCCGCAGUAGGGAAUCUUCCACAAUGGGCGCAAGCCUGAUGGAGCAACACCGCGUGCGUGAAGAAGGGUUUCGGCUCGUACAGCUCUUUUGUUGGAGAAGAACGUGCGUGAGAGUAACUGUUCACGCAGUGACGGUCUCCAACCAGAAAGUCACGGCUAACUACGUGCCAGCAGCCGCGGUAAUACGUAGGUGGCAUGCAUUAUCCGGAUUUUUUGGGCGUACAGCGAGCGCAGGCGGUUGCUUAGGUCUGAUGGGAAAGCCUUCGGCUUAACCGAAGAAGUGCAUCGGAAACCGGGGGACUUGAGUGCAGAAGAGGAAAGUGGAACUCCAGGUGUAGCGGUGGAAUGCGUAGAUAUAUGGAAGAACACCAGUGGCGAAGGCGGCUGUCUGGUCUGCAACUGACGCUGAGGCUCGAAAGCAUGGGUAGCGAACAGGAUUAGAUACCCGGGUAGUC